GCACUCGUGGCCGAGCAGUGAGGCCCGCGGCUGCAAACCGUGUCACCCCGGUGCAAAUCCGGGCGAGUGCUCCA
This 74-nucleotide transfer RNA is filed under the name Kofleriaceae bacterium. RNAcentral describes it as "tRNA-Cys". It matches the Rfam family "tRNA". Rfam says of the family: Transfer RNA (tRNA) molecules are approximately 80 nucleotides in length. Their secondary structure includes four short double-helical elements and three loops (D, anti-codon, and T loops). Lineage: Bacteria; Pseudomonadati; Myxococcota; Haliangiales; Kofleriaceae. The record is from RNAcentral.